AUACUUACCUGGCAGGGGAGAUCAUGAAGGUGUUUUGCCCAGGGCGAGGCUUAUCCCUUGCACUCCAGAUGUUCUGACCACUGUGAUUUCUCCAAAUGUGGGAAACUGGACCACAUAAAUUGUGGUAGUGGGGAAUUGCGUUUGCACUCGCCUCUG
RNAcentral lists this small nuclear RNA (156 nucleotides) under Chinchilla lanigera (long-tailed chinchilla). RNAcentral's name for it is "U1 spliceosomal RNA (ENSCLAG00000020112.1)". It matches the Rfam family "U1 spliceosomal RNA". From Rfam's summary of the family: U1 is a small nuclear RNA (snRNA) component of the spliceosome (involved in pre-mRNA splicing). Its 5' end forms complementary base pairs with the 5' splice junction, thus defining the 5' donor site of an intron. The record is from Rfam by way of RNAcentral. Lineage: Eukaryota; Metazoa; Chordata; Mammalia; Rodentia; Chinchillidae.